Molecule: ribosomal RNA, 254 nt
Filed under: uncultured bacterium
Lineage: Bacteria
Description: partial 16S ribosomal RNA
Rfam family: Bacterial small subunit ribosomal RNA
Source: RNAcentral
CACGUAGGGUGCGAGCGUUGUCCGGAAUUAUUGGGCGUAAAGAGCUCGUAGGCGGUGUGUCGCGUCGGCCGUGAAAACCUGCAGCUUAACUGUGGGCUUGCGGUCGAUACGGGCAUCACUGGAGUUCGGCAGGGGAGACUGGAAUUCCUGGUGUAGCGGUGAAAUGCGCAGAUAUCAGGAGGAACACCGGUGGCGAAGGCGGGUCUCUGGGCCGAUACUGACGCUGAGGAGCGAAAGCGUGGGGAGGGAACAGG